Lutra lutra (Eurasian river otter) is the source of this 2662-nucleotide long non-coding RNA. RefSeq lists it as uncharacterized. Lineage: Eukaryota; Metazoa; Chordata; Mammalia; Carnivora; Mustelidae. The transcript has 2 exons. The record is from RefSeq and is a predicted model, not a curated record.
CUCUCUGCCUACUUGUGAUCUCUGUCUGUCAAAUAAAUAAAUAAAAUCUUAAAAAAAUAACUAUAAAGUGUAUAAUAGGAUAGGUACUGUAAUUUUGAAACAAAAACAUGGAAUAUAGACAUAUUCAGUAUAUUUUGAGUUAUGAAUUAUAAGAGAUUUAAAAGAGGAAGAACAUGCAAUCAAUGUAUUAAAAUUUCACUAAGUAGUCAGACUAUAAGUAUUGAAAUUAUUUUUACUUUCUUAUAUUUCAUAAUUUUUUAAUCACGAGAUGCUGAACUUGAAUUGCAUUUAUAACAUGAGGAAAAGUUCUUGUGUUACAAGAAUCAUGUUGAGAUAUUCUACCUUAUCCCACUCUCCCCCAGAAAUUAAAGAAAGUUUUGCUUUGCAGCAGUUAGAGUAAAACAUACAGAAAUGCUGUCUAAAGAGUUUUCUUUUUUCCCAAAAGUUUAUUUAUUUAAGUAAUCUCUCUACCCAAGGGGGGCUUGAACUCAUGACCCUGAGAUCAAGAGUCACAUGCUCCUCCCACUGAGCCAGCCAGGCUCCCCUAAGGAGCAGGUUUCCACGCAAACAUAGAUUUACAAAUAUUCUUUUGGGUGUCUUUCUCAAAGAUUAUUUCAACAGCUAGUAGACUGUUAUAAAUUAGUACACAAACCAAUACUUCUAAAACCUAGUCUCUUAUACUCUCUAAAUAAAUCAAACUCUCUUUUUGUAAAACUGCUUACCAAAUGAUACCUGUCAUGCUUGUUUUAGCAACCAGUAAGGUCAUACGGUACGUACCAGCUGUAUGUAAGUGGGGUUAUAGAGGGAGAAUGUUGGGAAUGCACAGUGUCUUUUAUUCGGCCACUUCCAGCAGUCUGCCUGACCCUCUGCACCACGGAUACUUCACUUCUUUGCCCAAGCCCUCAGAUGCAUGUUUUGCAGAAAAAUGAGAAUGAAAACACUUGUAAAGAUAUUAAAGCUGUGCAGUCUUAAACUGCCAAUGGGAAGGUUACUCUGAUGGUAAAUGUAUUUGAUGGAGAAACUGUCCAGUCAUCAUAUCUGACCAGCAAAAGAGUAUUGCUAGGCAGAACAGGACAGACUGUUCGAAAUCAGGCUUGUCCUUUCUUUGAAUCUAUCAUGCGUGUUUGUGUGUAGGGGAAGGGAAAGCUGGUCAUUGUUUUGCACCUGUCUAUCAUCUAUUUACGAUCUUGGUUUGGUUUUGGAUAUUUCAAGGAGAAUAACAGUUAAAUUGGAAACUGGAAUGACAGCUGGGGGGUUUAAGGGGAAUGGAACUUGGGAAGAAAAAUGUGUGGCCAGGAGAAGUACAAUUAAUUAGAAGUAGAUUGAGCCGAGUUGCUUUUAUGCUUAGACUGUCUGGGGAGGAGGCCAUUGAAAUUUCAAAGUACAGAAUUCUGUUAGUUGUGGGGGAGGAGGGAGGUAGGAGGAGAGGGAAGAAGGUAGGGAGGUGGGCACCGUAGGGGUGGGAAUGACAAUGGAAAGUGAUUCUGGCUGUGGCAGCCAGGGCUGCCAACAGAGAAUUAGCAAAGAUAUCUUCAGAAAUAUCAGAAUAUCAGUCAGAAAGAAUUAUUUCUCAGAGCCGAAGAAUUUCUUGCUUAGAAGGUUACUUUUUCUCAAUCACUUAGCCAGUGAGUUGACUGGCCUAUAUUGAAAAAUAGUUAAGAACUUCGUAAAGAGGGAACUUUGUAAAGAAAGGAAAUCCUAACCAUACACCCCACACUUUCAUACUUGCAAGUUUUUUUUCCCACUCUCUUUCAAAGACCUAACGACAGCUAACCCAUGUGUCUGUGAGGGUUCUACCAGAGAAAUAGAACUAGCAAUAAAUAUUUAUAUAUGUCUAUAUUUAUAUAAAAAUGGAGGUUUAUGUAGAAGAAAGAUUUAUAUAUUUAUAUGUAUAUGAGGUAUGAAGUAGUGAUGUAUGUGUGUGUUCGUGUGUGUGUGUGUGCGUGUGUGUGUGUGUAUGGAAGUGUAUUUCAUGGAAUGGUUUAUGUGACGUGGGCUCUAUAAAAUCUGAAGUCAGUAGGACAGACUGGAAGGCUGGCAACUCUUGGGUAGGAACUGAAACUGAUGCUGCUGCUUUGCUUCUAAGGUCUUUCAACUGAUUAGAUGAGGCCCACCCAUGUUAUCAAGAGUAAUAUUUACUUAAAGUCAACUGAUUGUCUAUGUUAACCAUAUUUACAAAGUGCCUUCUCAGUUACAGAUUAGUGUUUGAUUGAAUAACUGAGCCCCAUGGGCUAGCCGAGUUGAUACAUGAAACUAACCAUCACAACAGAAGACUUCUCCAGACUUGAAAUUCUGAUUAUUAUUACUUUAGGGAACUUUAUUCCUUUAAGAUUUAGUGUUUCAAGGAAGAAAGAAAUUACUAAAAAAAAAAAAAAAAAAAAAAAAAAGAAACUAAUACUAAGAUGCAUUUCUUAGGUUCUAUUUCAAAAGAGACUUUUCUAAUUCUGUUCUAAUUCCUUUGCAAAUCUAAGUUAUCAUAGCUCUAAGUGAGGUUGAGAAUUAAAAAAAAAUAAUGAAACAUACUAAAUGUGUCAGUGGACCAGAAAAGAGAUAAUUAAAUCAUCUGAUUUUCCCUUAUCUUGUGUCAAACUAAAAAUAAUCUGGGGCCAAUGGGAGAAAUUUGACACAGCAACACAAUAAACACGAUUCUGAUUUUAUAAAA